AUUAGCCAUGCGAGUUGAAUGAAAUGCGUAUCAUUUCAUAGCAAACUGCUUAGUAACACAUGAUCAACCUACCCUAUGGAGGGCACUAACCUCGGGAAACUGAGGAUAAUGGCCCAUAGCAGAUUCGGCUUGGAAAAGUGUAUCUGUGAAAGGGAUGCGGAUGAGCCCGCUUGUGCCAUAGGAUGGGAUUGUGGUCGAUUAGGUAGUUGGUGAGGUAAUGGCUCACCAAGCCGAUAAUCGAUAGAGGCCGUGAGAGCGGGAGCCUCAAGAUGGGUACUGAGACAGCGACCCAGGCCCUACGGGGCGCAGCAGGCGCGAAACCUCCACAAUGCACGCAAGUGCGAUGGGGCUACCCAAAGUGCUCCACACGGAGCUGUGGUGGAUGAGUAAUGUUCUCCGCUAGAAAGGAGAGGGCAAGGCUGGUGCCAGCCGCCGCGGUAAAACCAGCUCUUCAAGUGGUCGGGAUAAUUAUUGGGCUUAAAGUGUCCGUAGCCGGUAUGGUAAGUUCCUGGUAAAAUUGGGCAGCUUAACUGUCCUUGUGCUACGGAUACUGCU
This 555-nucleotide ribosomal RNA is filed under the name uncultured crenarchaeote. Its description in RNAcentral is "bacterial SSU rRNA". It matches the Rfam family "Archaeal small subunit ribosomal RNA", at positions 44 to 588 of the family's 1478-position model. The record is from RNAcentral. Lineage: Archaea; Thermoproteati; Thermoproteota.